Molecule: ribosomal RNA, 206 nt
Filed under: uncultured Bacteroides sp.
Lineage: Bacteria; Pseudomonadati; Bacteroidota; Bacteroidia; Bacteroidales; Bacteroidaceae
Description: partial 16S ribosomal RNA
Rfam family: Bacterial small subunit ribosomal RNA
Source: RNAcentral
AGUGUUUCCUUAUUCGACUGUAACUUCUUUUAUACGGGAAUAAAGUGGUCCACGUGUGGAUUUUUGUAUGUACCGUAUGAAUAAGGAUCGGCUAACUCCGUGCCAGCAGCCGCGGUAAUACGGAGGAUCCGAGCGUUAUCCGGAUUUAUUGGGUUUAAAGGGAGCGUAGGUGGAUUGUUAAGUCAGUUGUGAAGGUUUGCGGGCAA